Molecule: ribosomal RNA, 492 nt
Filed under: uncultured bacterium
Lineage: Bacteria
Description: partial 16S ribosomal RNA
Rfam family: Bacterial small subunit ribosomal RNA
Source: RNAcentral
AGUGAACGCUGGCGGUAGGCCUAACACAUGCAAGUCGAACGGCAGCACAGUAAGAGCUUGCUCUUACGGGUGGCGAGUGGCGGACGGGUGAGGAAUACAUCGGAAUCUACUUUUUCGUGGGGGAUAACGUAGGGAAACUUACGCUAAUACCGCAUACGACCUACGGGUGAAAGCAGGGGACCUUCGGACCUUGCGCGAUUGAAUGAGCCGAUGUCGGAUUAGCUAGUUGGCGGGGUAAAGGCCCACCAAGGCGACGAUCCGUAGCUGGUCUGAGAGGAUGAUCAGCCACACUGGAACCGAGACACGGUCCAGACUCCUACGGGAGGCAGCAGUGGGGAAUAUUGGACAAUGGGCGCAAGCCUGAUCCAGCCAUACCGCGUGGGUGAAGAAGGCCUUCGGGUUGUAAAGCCCUUUUGUUGGGAAAGAAAAGCAGCAAGUUAAUACCCCGCUGUUCUGACGGUACCCAAAGAAUAAGCACCGGCUAACUUCGUG